Molecule: ribosomal RNA, 407 nt
Filed under: uncultured bacterium
Lineage: Bacteria
Description: bacterial SSU rRNA
Rfam family: Bacterial small subunit ribosomal RNA
Source: RNAcentral
CCUGGCUCAGAUUGAACGCUGGCGGAAUGCUUUACACAUGCAAGUCGAGCGGCAGCGCGGGGCAACCUGGCGGCGAGCGGCGAACGGGUGAGUAAUACAUCGGAACGUACCCAGUUGUGGGGGAUAGCCCGGCGAAAGCCGGAUUAAUACCGCAUACGACCUGAGGGUGAAAGGGGGGGAUCGCAAGACCUCUCGCAGUUGGAGCGGCCGAUGGCGGAUUAGCUAGUUGGUAGGGUAAAGGCCUACCAAGGCGACGAUCCGUAGCUGGUCUGAGAGGACGACCAGCCACACUGGAACUGAGACACGGUCCAGACUCCUACGGGAGGCAGCAGUGGGGAAUUUUGGACAAUGGGGGCAACCCUGAUCCAGCCAUUCCGCGUGAGUGAAGAAGGCCUCGGUUGUAAGAC